CCUACGGGGGGCUGCAGUGGGGAAUAUUGGACAAUGGGGCAACCCUGAUCCAGCCAUGCCGCGUGUGUGAAGAAGGCCCUCGGGUUGUAAAGCACUUUCAGUGAGGAAGAACGCCUGGUGGUUAAUACCCAUCAGGAAAGACAUCACUCACAGAAGAAGCACCGGCUAACUCCGUGCCAGCAGCCGCGGUAAUACGGAGGGUGCGAGCGUUAAUCGGAAUUACUGGGCGUAAAGCGCGCGUAGGUGGCUUGAUAAGCCGGUUGUGAAAGCCCCGGGCUCAACCUGGGAACGGCAUCCGGAACUGUCAAGCUAGAGUGCAGGAGAGGAAGGUAGAAUUCCCGGUGUAGCGGUGAAAUGCGUAGAGAUCGGGAGGAAUACCAGUGGCGAAGGCGGCCUUCUGGACUGACACUGACACUGAGGUGCGAAAGCGUGGGUAGCAAACAGGAUUAGAUACCCGGGUAGUC
This 464-nucleotide ribosomal RNA is filed under the name Vreelandella stevensii. RNAcentral describes it as "partial 16S ribosomal RNA". It matches the Rfam family "Bacterial small subunit ribosomal RNA", at positions 338 to 795 of the family's 1533-position model. The record is from RNAcentral. Lineage: Bacteria; Pseudomonadati; Pseudomonadota; Gammaproteobacteria; Oceanospirillales; Halomonadaceae.